ACAAUGGGAAAUGCAAGGAACUCUUCU
This 27-nucleotide non-coding RNA is filed under the name Cricetulus griseus (Chinese hamster). Lineage: Eukaryota; Metazoa; Chordata; Mammalia; Rodentia; Cricetidae. The record is from RNAcentral.